AUGUGAUUAACUUUAUAAAUCAGAGUAGAUUAGAAAUGUAGUUCUUCAAAUAUACACGAGAAAAUUCAUUUUAUUGAAUAAAUAUAUCCACUUUUUAUUUCAUUAUUUAGUUUCAGAUGUUCUUGAGCUGUUUCAAACGCUGUGAGAGCAAAACAAGUGUUUUCAGCUUCUAUCUGUGAAGUUCAUGAACACAUUUCUAUUUAUUUGUAAUAAUUGUUACACUUGACAGUUUCUUCCUCUCAUUACAUUCCUUUGGGGGAUGGAGGCGACAUGCAGACCUUGUCAAACUAAAGACUUUAGAGGUGCUCGAGGUUUCAUCACAUUUUACAGUUCUGAGUGAAUGCAGAGAAGUUGUUGUUACAUUCUAGCAGUUUCUUCAUCAUUACAUCAGACACACAGUCAGUGACAGCAGAAGGUAGCUAGCAGAGACAGACCUAGGAUCAGAUCACACUGACACACUGUGGACAUCAUGGAAGCUUUAAUGUAACUUGUUAGAAAAAUAUUCCUAAUAACACCACGAUGUCAGGAUUAAAAUUAAAUAAAAGAUUCAAUCAAUAUUCUUGCAAGAAGGAGCCGAGUUUAUUCAUACAAUCUUUGAGCUUGAGCUUCCAGGUCAGUCUUCCUUUGUUCUACAAGAUGGAGGUUUACAGUAAACACAGAGGUACUGAUCAACUCAUGUCCCAGACGUGCUAAUUCACUAGACUGAGGACUGUUCUUAGAAAGAGCAGUUCACCUCCUGUCUCCUGCUGUGCUUUACAAUCAGUAUUUCCUGUGUUUUCCUAUCAUAAUCCUCCUGUUUAUACAAAGUAUAACAACAAAAUAAAAUACACCAAUACAUCACAUUAAAAUCAAAAUAUUCUUGAAACAGACGCUGUCUUUAUCCAGCUUCCUUUGUUCAGCUCCUUCAUCACGAUGUCACUUCUUUAGGAUUGUCAGCAUCGGAAUCAUUAUGCUUAUGCAGUUCAGUGUCUUUGAUUUCUUCUUUAAAUAAGGCCCCCAUACCGUCCUGGUAUGGGAGUGUAUCAUCUUCUUCCUCAUUCUUAGAUGACGUCAUCUCCUUUUCAUAUCGUACCCUCCAAUCUGUAUGGAAACUGGCUGAUACUCGUGUACCAUUUGUUUUGUUAUUGCGGAUUCAUUCAAUUUAAUCAUACGGCUUCUAAUUCAUGUUUUAAAACAAUAUCUACAUACAGUAAGUAUUAAUAUAUCUAUUAAUGCUGAAGAUACCAGUAACAUGAUGAAAACCACCAUUUCCCGAACCAUCUUUCCAUAGCAUCACCAAAAUAAUUCUCUAUUCCUGAAUUCUCUGCUAAUUAUUUAUCUAAUGUUGUCGAUCCUUGUAAGGCUCCUUCUCUGCUAGGAGCAUAUCUAAAGCCAUUCUGUUCUGCCAUGCCAUUAAACUAGUGGCUGCUUGUUGUUCAGCUUGUCCCUAAACUGUAUCCCUUGUAUUAAUGAAUAAAUCUCUGUUAAAUACAA
Long non-coding RNA from Cottoperca gobio, 1473 nucleotides. RefSeq lists it as uncharacterized. The transcript is spliced from 2 exons. The record is from RefSeq and is a predicted model, not a curated record. Lineage: Eukaryota; Metazoa; Chordata; Actinopteri; Perciformes; Bovichtidae.